GAUGAACGCUAGCGGCAGGCUUAAUACAUGCAAGUCGAGGGGCAGCAGGUCCCGCAGCAAUGCGGGAUGCUGGCGACCGGCAAACGGGUGCGGAACACGUACAGAACCUUCCUUUAAGUGGGGAAUAGCCCGGGGAAACCCGGAUUAAUACCCCGUAACAUAAUGAAGUGGCAUCACUUUAUUAUUAUAGCAGCAAUGCGCUUGAAGAUGGCUGUGCGGCUGAUUAGGUAGUUGGCGGGGUAACGGCCCACCAAGCCUACGAUCAGUAACUGGGGAGAGAGCACGAGCAGUCACACGGGCACUGAGACACGGGCCCGACUCCUACGAGAGGCAGCAGUAAGGAAUAUUGGGCAAUGGACGCAAGUCUGACCCAGCCAUGCCGCGUGGAGGAUGAAGGUCCUCUGGAUUGUAAACUUCUUUUAUCUGGGAAGAAAUCUAUUUUUUCUAAAGUAGUUGACGGUACCAGAUGAAUAAGCGCCGGCUAACUCCGUGCCAGCCGCCGCAGUAA
RNAcentral lists this ribosomal RNA (508 nucleotides) under uncultured bacterium. RNAcentral describes it as "partial 16S ribosomal RNA". It matches the Rfam family "Bacterial small subunit ribosomal RNA", at positions 28 to 523 of the family's 1533-position model. The record is from RNAcentral.